Electrophorus electricus (electric eel) is the source of this 449-nucleotide long non-coding RNA. RefSeq lists it as uncharacterized. NCBI's taxonomy places the organism in Eukaryota, Metazoa, Chordata, Actinopteri, Gymnotiformes, Gymnotidae. The record is from RefSeq and is a predicted model, not a curated record.
ACAAAAAUCAACACGCGAAAAGGAGCGGGGAAAUAAGAGGAAACGCCGCCAGCUCGCUUCCUUUUCGCGAAGUAUGCCGGCAGUAUGGUCAAGACUGCGCAGAAUCGUAGGCAGCUUUGCCAUGAAAUGCAUCCGCCAGCACUCCGAUCAAGCUGCGUUCCUGUUUUGCUGAAGGAGGGACUGAGGUGAUCGCCCAGAGCUCUACGGGAAAGGGAUCUGUAAACCUCUUCAGGGGCCUGGGUCGUGAGCGACAGGGCUGCCCUGGUGCAAAGGUCCAAGGUGUAUGCUUGAAGUCAAAUGCCAGUCCAGUAGACCUGAGCCACCUGUGGAGAGGGCUGUAACAAUGUCAUGCCACGUCCAGUUAUUGGAUGGAUGUGAGCUGGCUAAAACCCAUGAGGAUUUCAACUUCUGUUAAAUGGAAUGCAAAAUAAAAUUGAUUUUUAAAGGUU